CUUACUCAGUUAUGCCUCGGCGUAAGCUCCGUACGGGGCUGCUGGGUGCGUUGCGGGCGACAG
RNAcentral lists this ribosomal RNA (63 nucleotides) under Arthrinium sp. CB-S-5. RNAcentral's name for it is "partial 18S ribosomal RNA". Lineage: Eukaryota; Fungi; Ascomycota; Sordariomycetes; Amphisphaeriales; Apiosporaceae. The record is from RNAcentral.